GGAGGGAGCUAGCGUUGUUCGGAAUUACUGGGCGUAAAGGGCGCGUAGGCGGCCGAGUAAGUCGCGUGUGAAAGGCCGGGGCUCAACCCCGAGCACUGCACGUGAUACUGCUCGGCUAGAGAAAGGUAGAGGCGAGCGGAAUUCCCGGUGUAGCGGUGGAAUGCGUAGAUAUCGGGAAGAACACCUGUGGCGAAGGCGGCUCGCUGGGCCUUUUCUGACGCUGAAGCGCGAAAGCGUGGGGAGCAAACAGGGAUUAGAUACCCUGGUAGUCCACGCCGUAAACGAUGGGUACUAGGUGUUGGGAGGCUUGGCCCCUCUCAGUGUCGUCGCUAACGCAUUAAGUACCCCCGCCUGGGGAGUACGGUCGCAAGGCUG
RNAcentral lists this ribosomal RNA (375 nucleotides) under uncultured organism. RNAcentral describes it as "partial 16S ribosomal RNA". It matches the Rfam family "Bacterial small subunit ribosomal RNA", at positions 527 to 896 of the family's 1533-position model. The record is from RNAcentral.